This 400-nucleotide ribosomal RNA is filed under the name uncultured Cellulomonas sp. Its description in RNAcentral is "partial 16S ribosomal RNA". The record is from RNAcentral. Lineage: Bacteria; Bacillati; Actinomycetota; Actinomycetes; Micrococcales; Cellulomonadaceae.
AGGCCCGGGAACGUAUUCACCGCAGCGUUGCUGAUCUGCGAUUACUAGCGACUCCGACUUCAUGGGGUCGAGUUGCAGACCCCAAUCCGAACUGAGACCGGCUUUUUGGGAUUCGCUCCACCUCGCGGUAUCGCAGCCCUUUGUACCGGCCAUUGUAGCAUGCGUGAAGCCCAAGACAUAAGGGGCAUGAUGAUUUGACGUCAUCCCCACCUUCCUCCGAGUUGACCCCGGCAGUCUCCCAUGAGUCCCCGGCAUAACCCGCUGGCAACAUGGGACGAGGGUUGCGCUCGUUGCGGGACUUAACCCAACAUCUCACGACACGAGCUGACGACAACCAUGCACCACCUGUACACCGACCUUGCGGAAGCCUACUUUCGUAGGAUGUCAUCUGCAGUUCAAG